AGAUCCAGAGGCUUUACAAACACUGUCUCCACUGCAGCUGCCCCAAUUGCCAAAAUAACUGCAAACCAGGCCAGACACGCUCCAAAGCAUUUACUAUUCAAAAACAGCCUAUUUGGAGUCAUAACUAGCAAACACCUAUGUAUAGAAAUUAUCAUCAAUAUAAAUACAAUACAAAAGUCCAAGGUGCUUACAUAAAGGGUGAAUAAUACACACAAUAGCAUAGAUCCUGGCAUGGUGUACAGGAGAUAAUGCCCACAUCCCCACCGACUACACGCAACACAACCUCAGGCAAAACCAGAUCAGGGUGCAAACGUAGGUGCUUCAACAAACCAGCAGCCAUGCCUCCUAAAAGACGCCGCGCUCCAAAAAGACCAGCCCCUCCUCCACCACCGGGAUGCCAAGGUGAUGAGGAGUCCAGCCAGGGAACUCAAACGCCAAACCCCCCAUCACCACCAGUGCCCCCUUCAUCACCAACACUUCCCUCAUCCCCCGUCCCUCCUUCAUCACCAGUACAUGAGCCACCAUCUCCUUCCCCCCCACCAGCCCCACCAUCACCAGAUGUUGAUGUUGAAGGUUUAGAUGUAGGAGAGACAGACGAUCCCGGUCCCCCUCCACCAAAAAGAUACUCCAGGUAUCAAAAACCGCAUAAUCCAUCUGAUCCAUUGCCUAAAAAAUAUCAGGGAAUGCGAAGACACCUGCAGGUGACAGCACCCAGGUUAUUUGAUCCCGAGGGUCACCCCCCAACACAUUUUAAGUCAGCUGUUAUGUUUAGUAGCACACAUCCCUACACUUUGAAUAAACUUCACAAGUGUAUCCAAAGCAAACAUGUACUCUCAACACCAGUUAGCUGUUUACCCUUGGUACCAGGCACAACACAACAGUGUGUAACAUACUAUUUACUUUCAUUUGUUGAAGACAAGAAACAGGCCAAAAAACUAAAAAGGGUUGUCUUGGCCUACUGUGAAAAAUACCACAGCAGCGUAGAAGGUACUAUAGUCAAGGCAAAGCCUUAUUUUCCCUUACCAGAGCCCCCUACAGAGCCCCCUACAGACCCCGAGCAGCCAUCCACAAGUACACAAGCUUCUGGCACACAACAUGGUCCCACAGCAUCUCUGGAUGCCGGUGCAGAGCAAGGUGCCACAGGAUCACCUGGAUCUAGUCCAGGACAACAGGGACAAGGGUCUCAGACAAAGGGUGGGCGCGCCGACCCAGCUUUCUUGUACAAAGUGGUUGAUGCUGUUAUGGACCCAGAAACGCUGGUGAAAGUAAAAGAUGCUGAAGAUCAGUUGGGUGCACGAGUGGGUUACAUCGAACUGGAUCUCAACAGCGGUAAGAUCCUUGAGAGUUUUCGCCCCGAAGAACGUUUUCCAAUGAUGAGCACUUUUAAAGUUCUGCUAUGUGGCGCGGUAUUAUCCCGUAUUGACGCCGGGCAAGAGCAACUCGGUCGCCGCAUACACUAUUCUCAGAAUGACUUGGUUGAGUACUCACCAGUCACAGAAAAGCAUCUUACGGAUGGCAUGACAGUAAGAGAAUUAUGCAGUGCUGCCAUAACCAUGAGUGAUAACACUGCGGCCAACUUACUUCUGACAACGAUCGGAGGACCGAAGGAGCUAACCGCUUUUUUGCACAACAUGGGGGAUCAUGUAACUCGCCUUGAUCGUUGGGAACCGGAGCUGAAUGAAGCCAUACCAAACGACGAGCGUGACACCACGAUGCCUGUAGCAAUGGCAACAACGUUGCGCAAACUAUUAACUGGCGAACUACUUACUCUAGCUUCCCGGCAACAAUUAAUAGACUGGAUGGAGGCGGAUAAAGUUGCAGGACCACUUCUGCGCUCGGCCCUUCCGGCUGGCUGGUUUAUUGCUGAUAAAUCUGGAGCCGGUGAGCGUGGGUCUCGCGGUAUCAUUGCAGCACUGGGGCCAGAUGGUAAGCCCUCCCGUAUCGUAGUUAUCUACACGACGGGGAGUCAGGCAACUAUGGAUGAACGAAAUAGACAGAUCGCUGAGAUAGGUGCCUCACUGAUUAAGCAUUGGUAACCGGUUAGUAAUGAGUUUAAACGGGGGAGGCUAACUGAAACACGGAAGGAGACAAUACCGGAAGGAACCCGCGCUAUGACGGCAAUAAAAAGACAGAAUAAAA
This 2139-nucleotide non-coding RNA is filed under the name synthetic construct. The record is from RNAcentral.